This 16211-nucleotide long non-coding RNA is filed under the name Gossypium barbadense (sea-island cotton). RNAcentral describes it as "long non-coding RNA (GBAR_LNC021137)". Lineage: Eukaryota; Viridiplantae; Streptophyta; Magnoliopsida; Malvales; Malvaceae. The record is from RNAcentral.
AGACUGUUUUGGUGGUCCAAUGGGUCCUCCUGGGCCACCUGGACCUCCACCACCAUAGUUAGAUGCUUUCUUGCUCCUUCAUAAAUAGACCUCCUAUCUGGGUUUAAACUUAGCUAUCUAAUUACAAUAUUUAUGUAAGAAUUGUUUGCUUUUUAGUAGUAGAAAUUAAUAUGAAUGAAAUCUGUUAGAGCGCUUAUUUUUCUGUCUCCUCUUUAGAGCGAUUCCUCUAUAAAUAUAUAAGGCACUGUCCAUUGAUGUGACGUGUUAAACAUAAGUAAAUUACAUGAUAAAUACUCUAGCAAAGGGCUUGCCAAAUUAUGGGUGAGCUAUUGGGGAGCUAACCAGCCUCGCCAACUAGGACGAGUGGGGAGCACACGUGUGGGGCAAACAUGACUUACGUAGCGUGUUGUGUAUUAUUUGUAUAACAAAAUCAUUCUCAAUAAAUUGAUCUUUAAAUCUUGGUUUUCUUGUAUGAGUUUAAUUUUUAUCACAUCAGUAAAAAAUGUUGUAUUUAAUGGCUGAACUAUAAACUCCUAAUAAACAAAACCUAGAUGAAAAAUAAUUGCAAUAUGUUGGAACCUUGAUUAUAAGUUAUGUAUAUUUUUAUUUCUCAGUUGUUAAAGCUCUCUGUGUUUCAAACUGUACACUGUUUAGUUUAAUGGAGACUAGACAACAUAUGAAUGGGGGGAAACAAAUGCAAAAAUUUCAGAUACACAUUUUUAACCUUUUUCCUACCCAAAACUAUUUUUAUUUGCAGUGGACACCAGGCUACUUGGGGUGUUUGUUAGAUAGUCGAGUUUUACUCGAAAAAUAUUCGAAUUCGAUUAUAUUGACCAGAGUUCAAGCAAUAAAAUCAGAAUUCAAGUAUCAUAAUACUUAAUUUGGACGGUUUACAAGCUUAAUUAGACUUUUCAUUCUAAUAUUUUUUAUUAUGAAUAAGCUCGAGUUUGGAUAUGACCAAUUUUAACUGAGCUCGAGUAUGAAAAUUGAUAAACAAACUCAAGUUUAAAUAUUGAAUCUCAAAUUUUGAGUUCGACUCGAGUUUGAGCUUGAUACUAUUUAAGUUUGGCUUGACUCAAUUACGCCUCUUCUAUUCGAGCAUCAUUGUUGAUCAAGUUGAUUUAACCAAUCAUGUGAAUUGACUAAUGUAAUUGGAGUAAUAAACUUUUAAUAUACUAUGCAAGUGAUUAAUUAUAUAUAUAUAUAUAUAACAUUGAUAAUUUCUCAUGUCCUUUAUUAAAAGCUAAAAGCUAAGUAUGUAAGAACAAAUGUAGCAAAUAAACAUUAUUUUAAAGUAAGAAAGAAAGAAAACAUGUUGAAUAAUGAAAACAAAUAAAAUAAUAAAGUAAAUUCAUUUAUUUUUAUCUCUAAUAGAAUAAAAUUCUUUAAUCAUGAUCCCCGAAAAAGCCUUCUAUUUCUAGAUGUGUUAGUAUCAUCCAAACCAUUAGAGUUAUCAUUUUUGUAUGCUAAAUUUGAUUCAGUGUCAAUUUUAUCAUAAAUUAGAUUCAUAUCCGCAUUAUCUCCUUUCGGUUUAAUAGAAUCUUGAUAGAGUUUAAUGAAAUGUUUAGGUGUAUAUCAAGUAUGUGACCAAUGAUAUUUAUACCAUAUUAAUCACAUAAGUUAUUUAUUAUGACUAUUAUUUUUAUGGUUAUUAUUAUGCCAUUGACAAUUUUAAAAUCUUGCAAACUUAGGUGCAUCCAAUUAUAAUGAGCUUUAGAUAGAAUUAUUGUCUUUUGCGAUGAUAUUUAUUGUCACAUCUACUCUUUUUUAUAGAAUCUCUAGAACUAACCCAUAACUCCUCCCAAACUUUUAAAUAAGAGGAUAAUGCGCUUCACUGCACUCGGAUCCAUGUCCUCCUACGCUGACAACAAUACUAAUAUCAAUCGAGUUAAAACUCAAUCCACUUCAAUUGCCUUUUAAAUUAUACAAAUUAAGACUAAGCAAUUCAACGUAGAGGAAGCAUGCGUGGUAUAUUCAAAGGGGAAGCAGAAACAUCAAUCCGAGGCGAUCGAUACUGCUUAAGUGAUACCUAUAAAUUAAAAAACUAUUUUAUAUUAAAAAGUAUUUUUAUAAAAAUAUAAGUGGUAAAAAUUCUUUUAUAUUGUGUUCAAAUCUUAAAUAAUAUUUUUUAAUUGUCUUAAUUAAAUAUGUAAAAAUAUAAAAAGAUAAAAAUACUUUUAACUCGUGGUAUUAAUUCAAUUAAUUAUUUUAUAUAUAAUGUACAUAUAUUUAAUUAGUAUAUUUUUUUUCAUAUCUAUACAACCAUAAUUGAAAAGAAACACGUGGCAUGCCCGAUAAUCUAAAAAUAUUAAAGAUUGGUAGGUGGCUUGGCUUCCUACUUAUUUUAGAUUUGCGUCUGUUUUUUUUUUACAUCAUAUUCAUAAGGGUUAAUGGCACCAUUGACCCCUGUACUUUGGGGUUUGUUCUUUCAAAAUAUCCAAUUAACCCUCUGUACUUUACUUCCGUUAGCUAAAGUGGUCUCUGACCCAAACGGCGUUACCUUUUUUAUCAUGCGGCGCUUAUACUUUACUUCCGUUAGCUAAAGCUGUUGACUUGAAGGUUGACUGUUAGAGACCCUUAUGAGCAAUUAAAUCAUUUUUCAUUUAGAAAAUUAAAAUAAACGAAGGGGCCAACGAUGCCAAAUUUAAAUGAAAACAUAAGAUUUUUUAUAGCAAAAAAAUUUUUCCUUGUAGGUUACUUUUUUUUAUCAUUUUGUUUUCAUUUUUUUUUCUACUCUUUCUCUCUUCUCUUCUAGCCGCGGUCAUCAUUGUGUCUAAUCAUCGGUCGGUCAGAUUAAAAAAGAGAGAAGAGAGUAAAUCUGAGCAUAGUACAAGUAUCAAAUUAUAUAAAAAUUAAAUUUUAAAUUUGAGCAUAGUAUAAGUACCAAAAGUAAUUGCUAAUAUCAUCAAAUCAAAACGAAAAACAAAUUAUAAUUAAAAAAAUUUAUGAUGUCAAUGUUUCAUAUUUUCAAUCCCAAAUAAUCCCAUUCCCCUCUCCCAAUUAUAUAAAAAAAAAUUCAUAUUUUGCCUUAAAAAUUGCAUUAUGAUGGCAAAGAGCUUGUUACAAAAAUUGAAUAUAAAAGCUAGGAUCUGUGUGUUCAAGAUUAAAUUAAACUAAAAAUGAAUCUUACUAAAAUGUAAAUCAAUUAUUAAGAAUGAGGACUAAACAAGAAUUAUACCAAUUCAACAAACAGAGAUAGAAGAACCGACCGAGGUGCUAGAGUAACCAUUUUAAGAAAAGGAAGGGAGUUAAGAUGAAGUAUUGCCUAUUCAUAUGUUUACUCACCAUACAUAAAACAUUAUUUUGAUUUUAGGGUUUAAUACCUCCUAAUUUUAUUCAUUAACUCUAUCUAACAAUCUCAUUAUAAAUUCUGAUCAUAUUUGUUCUUUUUGACACAAUGCCUAAAACUAUUCAUAGCCCCUCCUCAAUGGGGGCGUUGGCAAGGGCUUCGACUCUCCUAAAAGGAAAUUUUUAAAAUUUUAAAUUCGUAAAGGUAAAACUAUACUUUGACCCCUCUAAAAAAUGAAAAAAAGAAAUUGAUAUUUCGGCCCAACUAAAAAAAUUUUCUGGCUUCACCCAUUGCUCCUCAACCCAUAAAUAGGAGGAUAAUAUGUUUCAACGCACUCAAACCAUGUUCUCUUACAUUGAUAACAAUGUCCAUACUAAUUGAACUAAGACUCAAUCGACAAAGCAUAUACUAAAUUGAAGGUGUGUCGGUUGGCAUAGAUGGUGCCAAAACAGGAGAAAGUAUGAGGAAAACCGAUUGCCCUGGGAGACAUUAUAACUUUUAUAAAAAACAGCUUUGUGACUAUCAACCAGCUUUCGAGAGUGGUAGGUUUAAUAAGAAUGGUAGUUGCAGAAUUAAAUUAAGUUAAAGAAAAUGUGGCUCAUAGACAGAUGGAUCCUUCUCGUUUAAGUAAACCAAAUUCAUUCCUAUAAAGCCACCUUCCAUGAUUGGUGACACAAGUUUCAAGCUUUUCUUCUCAGGUUUCCCUCCAUUGUGAAGUGUAAGUUCACCAGUUGUUGCUAGGGAGAAAUCAAAAUGGGGCCAGGUGGACCAGGAGGACCUCCGGGAUGGGGCGGUCCUCCUCCCGGACCGGGUUUUUCCGGUGGCAUUUGUGACUUCAUUGGUUCUUGGUAAGUUCAUUAGGGGUUUGAAAGAUUAUAUUUUGGUAUUUAUAUCCAAAUAUGAAGGAAGCAUAAGAAAUUGUGUAUAUUUUUGCAGUUUGAGCUUUCUGUGUUGCUGCUGGCUGCUUGGAGACUGUUUUGGUGGUCCAAUGGGUCCACCAGGGCCACCUGGACCACCUGGAUUUGGACCUCCACCACCCUAGUUAUAUGUCUACCAUCUUCAUAUUCCAACACAAAAAUUGGAGGCUUUUCUAGCUUCUAUCUGGGUUUCAACUUAGCUAUCUAAAAUACAUAUUUAUGUAAUAAUUGUUUGCAUUUUUAGUAGAAUUUAUGUUUAUUGAAAUUAAUCUCAAUAAAUUGAUCUUUCAAUCUUUUUUCUUUGCUAAUAUCAACGUAAUUUUAUUUUAUCAUUUCAGUGAUACAAACUGUUGAGAUCUUUUGUCUAUAUAUAUAUAUAUAACUUGUUAAUUUAAUGGCUGAAUUACAAAUUCUCUUUAUUUUCAUUCCUAUUAAACAAAACCUUGAGUUAUAAGACUAAAAUGAGGAUUAAUGAUUAAUAUCAUAUGCACAGUUGGUGUAUAAGUCUCAUGUACCGUUAAUAACAAUUUUUUUUUUAAAAUUUUGAGUUUCAAGUUUUAGGUUUUGAAUUUCGGAUUUUGAGUUUUGUGUCAUGAAUUUGAUAUUUUGUAUUUAUUUAAGUUUAAUAAAUAUAAAUUAAUAUUUAUUUUUAAAAAUAAAGUUAUUUAUAUUAAUGUUUAAACCCUUUAAUAGUUUUUGUUUUACAUAGGUAACGAUGUAUCAUUUUAUUAUUAACUGAUGGUACAUGAGAUCUAUAUGCCGACAGUGCAUCAAAUACUCUUCCCUUAAAAUAAUUAAUGAACUUUUUAUAUGUUGAUAUAUGAAAAAUUGAGAUAAAAAAGGGGAAAAUAAUUCAUAUCCUAAUAUAUCCACAAUCAUGGUGGUCCUUGUAACUUUGAAAUUUCCUUAUGAAUAUUCUUGACAUGGUGCUUUAUAAAACAUAAAAGAAAAAUAAAAAUAUUUCUUUUCAAUCAAGAAAAUGGGGGAAAAGAAUUACAUCAAGCAUUAUUCAUAUAUGAUAUGAUAUGUUUUUGUUUAUAUGUACAUUAGUUAUUAUCUUACAUGCAUGUUAUAUGUGUAUUAUUAUAUAAAAGAAAAUUAUAUGAAAAUUUUAAAUUUUGGGAUAGCUGUUUGAGUUUUAAAAUAUUUAUUUUUUAAUUAUAUUUAAAGUGGGUUUCGUUUUUUAAAUUAAAAUUUUUAUUAAUUGUUAGAGUUUGUGUGAGUCGAGUCUCGUUACUUGUUGAAGAAAUAAUUAUAGUGGCAAAAUAAGGGAGUCUGUGGCAAUUUUUAUACGGACCAUGUCGCACAAGUAGAAUUUUUCAACCUUCCUGUAUUAUUCAGUUUUCAACAUUAAUUAAGAAAUAAAUUAUAUUUAUUUAAAAAUUAAUAAAAUAAGUGUUUUGCAUAUACAUUAUUUGGAAAAAAAAACUUAUCAAAAACAACAAUGGUUGCCUGAAUUAUUUUAACAUUGUAGUGUCUAAAUUUUAUAUAUUUAUAUAGCAUUUUAAUUUAUUUAAGCAUUAUUUGGUUGAAAUUAGAUAAUUUUCUAAUAUAUAAUUUUUUAUUAAUUAAUUUUUUGCUUCAACUUUAAAUAAAUAAAUUUAUUUAUUUUUGUAACUUAUACUUAUUAUUAGUACAAACAAGCAUUUAAUAAUAUUUAAAUUUUAGUGUUUUCAGAAAAUUUACAUGAAAAUUAAAAGAAUAUUAAUUUUUUUACAGUACUUUCUUAAUUUUUAUUGUACAUAAAAUUAUGAUCAUAGUUUUGUCUCCCAUUAAAUCAUUUUGUUUAAUAUAUGUUUAUAUUUUUAUUAAAAUAUUAAUAAAAAUGAAAUAUAUUUUAAUUAAUACACAUAAUUAUCUCGGGUAAAAUAGUUUUUAAUACUAUUUAAAAUUUAAUAUUUUCCCCGUAAAAUUUACGCAUAUAAUAUAUUCGCAAUAUUACAAAUAUAUUAUAUUCCAAAUAAUUUGUAUAAAUAAAAAAACUCGUGCUUCACAUGGGUAAAAAAAAUUAGUUAUUUUAUAUUUAAUUUUACACAUUCUUUUCAUGUCCUUUUUAUCUUUUAAUUACUAAAUGGAUUAAAUAAAAUUCUUUUUUAUUUUUAGAAAGACCAAAGUAUAAUUUUACCAUCCUACCUUCUAAUUUUACAUUUUUAAAGGGACUAAAAUGGUCGACGGAAGUGCUUCUUUGUUUUGAGAACUUUGACUCGAUUGUUAUCUAUUUUACACUUUUUUUUGCUUAUUUUUAUUAAAUAGAACCAAUUAAAUUUUAUUUAUUUGCUAAAGUAAUUAGUAAAGUAAAGUAAAAAAAAUUAGUUUUAAUUUUAACUUUUAUAAUAAAUUAAUAUUCAAUAAGUGUAAUUUUUUGUAAUUAAAAUCCACGUGAUAUUAAAAUAAUUAUUUUAUUAUAUUCUAGAUAUUAUGGCCAGUAUCAUGUUAAAUUUGUGCUAACAUACACGUCACGUCAAAAUUUUGGAUGAUUUUUAUUAGCAUCGUUAUCAAUUUUACCAACUUGUUUCUAUUUUAUUAACACGUCAUUGUCAGAGGUAUGGCGAUAUCCUCUUUUAGGUAUCAUGUCACCAACAUUGUGAGGGGGACAAAAUUGGAAAAAAAAUGGCAGUCUUUGUUCAUCCGAUCCACCAAUCACCCAAGGCUCGUGUAGAGACAAUUUUGGCAACAAAAAUUCAUCAUCAUUCAACCUAAAACAACCAAUUUUAGCUGAGGAGGAGAGAGACACACAUUAGCUUAGUUUUAGCCUUAGUUUUCUCUUAGUUUUUUUGCAACUUUUCUGGGGUUUUCAUUUUCUUUUCUUCUUUCUUAGUUUUAGUGUUUAUUUUUCUGCAUUUACUUCUUGUUCUUGAUGUUCUUAGUGUUAGUUAAGUUAGUUAUCAUUGUAGCUUAGGUUUAUUUACACUUUCAGUCCCUAUACCUUGGUUGUAAGACAUUUCUAGCUUUAGUUUAAUAUAUUUCAGUUUCUUUUACUUUCAAUCAACUAAAGUUUGUUCCUUUUAUGUUUAUUGUUUUAGAUUUCCUUGUUGAAUGUCUUUAGUUUCAUGUUUUUAAGUUUUAUUGUAUAAAAAUCCAAACUUUUAUAUUUUUCUUAAGUUUUGCUUUAACGACUUCCUUACUUUUUAUUUCCAUGUUCAUUCUCUUUAUUUUCAACAUGAGUAGCUAAACCUAAAAAAGGGGUUGGUUGAUGGAGAUGUGGGUAAGUUGAUUUUCGGACAAAGGACUAAAUCGUAAUAAAUUGGACUAAAUCAAAUAGAUUUAAAAAUUAGGAAGUGACGCCCCUAAGGGAACAUCUAGGCAAGUGAUACAGAGAUGUAAUCUUUUUGUGCACCCAUUCAUUAGUCUCGAAUUAACCGGUGAGACCGAGAGAUAAAUCGAAUUAAUUCGUCUAAGUCGAUAAAAUUGAUAUCGAAAGAUAAAAUAGAGCCACUUAGUAAUUUAAGAGAUUUAAGUCCCUCGUUUGAGGAUCGACGAACCACAUCAGAAUCAACCAACCACCUUUAUUCAUUUGCUGGUUAAUUUCUUAGUUUUGUACUCUUUGCAAUUUAGUCGCUAGAUUAACAUAUUUAAUUUUCUUACAAAAUUUUCUUGUUAUGAUUUGCCAUACUAUAAAAUCAUAUCAGUAGCGACUUAGACUCUAUAGUUUAUGUUAUCCAUCACUCAAUCACUAUCUCCUUUGGGUUCGAUCAUUGGAAUACUCUGGUGUUCCAUUGUAACAUUACAAAUAUUACAACUGACCAGUAUGCUUGUAAUAAAAUCGCGAUUUAAAAUUAUUUUAUAACAAUCAUUUGUUUUAUGCGCACGUGCAAAUGCGGACACCUAUCCUUUAUUACAUUCACUUGGGCACAUUUAGCACAUAUAAUAAUUUCUUUAUAGUUUAGUCCAUAUCUCACUUUUUUAUACCAAAUCGUAAAUAAUUCAAAUCAUAUUCACACAACACAAAUUCAUAAUUUAAAUAUAUAUAUUAUAAUCACAUAUAACCACACCAUAUGAACUUACCUAACAAAAACAACAACAAACAAGAUAUCAAGGACUAAUUUGCAAUUUUGCUAUUUUCUUGACUAUCCUUCAAUUGGUUCAAAUAUCGAUCUAUAUGAUAAUUCAUUUUAGUUUAUCAUUUCUAAAUACCUUAUAUCAUCCUAUUAUAUGUAUAUGACAUUUCAAUUUUAUUUUUUAAAAGUUCCCUAAAUUUUCACAUUUAAUUUAAUUUAGUCCCUAAAACUGAAACUGCCAUAACUUUUAAAUUUGAUCCUUGAUUUUGAAACCUAUCUCAAUUACAUCCUUAUUUAACCCUCUAUUAUCUAUAAUUACAUAAAAUUAACAUAAACUUCAAAAUUUAUGCACUUUAGUCCUUAUGUUCAAAAACUAACAAUUAAACUUUACAAACUAGUCCUUUUUCAUAUCUAGGCUUAAAAUAUAAUAAAUUAACACUAAUUUCAUCAAGCAUUCAACAAUGGAAACUUUUAAAAACUUUAACAGCUUUACAAAUUAGUACAUGAGUUAGCUAAAUCAAGCUCUCACAACCUCAAAAACAUAAAAAUUACAAGAAAAUGACUAAAUUGAACAUACCAUGCAAGUGCUGAAAGUAUUUGAGCUUCAAAAAUGGCUUCCUAGGUUUCCUUUUGUGCUUUCGUGGAGAAGAAAGAAAAAUGUAAAGAUGAUCGCUUCUUUUUUUUAUGUUAAUUAAUCUUUAUAUUGUAUAUAUUAUUUUUUUAUAAUUUUAAUAUUAUUUGAACAAAACAUCCUACCAACCGUCCACUAUCAUUCUAAAAUGGCUUAUUUUCCAUUUUAGUUAUUGAUUUAAUUGCUAUAUAAAUCCUUAAGUCUUUGGCCAAUUAUAAAUCUAUAGUUAUGAACUUUUACAAUUUAGUCAUUGUACAAAUUACCUUGAUUUAAUUAACUACCAAUUUGGCUAAAUUAAGGGACCAAACUAAUACUAACCUUGUCGAACGGGCAAGGCCAAUUUGGGCGUGUGGGCCCAAAAUUCUAAAUUUUUUUCUAGGGUCGCACAGGUCGUUUCGAUCGACUGUGAGCCUACUGUAGGGUCGGUAAAGGCUAACCAAACCCUAAUUCAUGAGAUCUGAUAGUCUAAUUUGAGUAAGACACUGAUAAGUAUGUGUGACUAUUUUGGUUGAGUAUAUAUAUGUUAUCUAUAUACAAGCAUGUUAAGCAUGUUAAUUCUGUAUUUGUAUCUAUGUUUGGGUUGAGAUUUGUAUAUAUGGAGGAAGUGAUCUGUACGGCGACCUUUCGCCUAUAUUCUGGUAGCUUGCCUGCAUAUUAUUUGUUAUGUGUUACAUCGACACUAUAUUGUGUGUAGGGAUGGGUGGGUGUUUCUAACCCCACAUAGUGUGAUGGGAUGGACGGAGAUGGUGUGUAGAGGAUGGGGGUAGGAUUCUGUAUAUCUGUUUCGUUUAUCUAAUUCUGAUAUCUGUAUUUGUAUGGACUUAGGUUCGAAUCUGUAUCUGACUGUAUAUGAAAUAUUGUGUAUGUUGCAUGACUAUUUCUGUUGGGUUACACACUAAGUAUUUAUAAACUCACUUUUGUUUGUCUGUUCUAUUCAGAUAAUCCACAUACAUAGGUGGGUCGGUGCGACGGGGGCUCAGCGGUGACCACUUGACGAGAAACUAUUUUUCGUUAUUAUUUUUAUGGUCUUUACUAGAAUUCUCGGCUUUCGUGAGAGUUUUUGUAAUUUUUGGACUCUCCAAAAUUUUUGAACUGUUUGGUUUAAAUUUUUGGUUUGGUUGCGUUAUGAUUUCUAAAACUGUGAUGACUCGACAAAAUAUUAAUUUCACGCGAACAAAUGUUAAUUUUGAAAAUACGAGCAUGGUUUUGAUUUAAUCGGGUUUUUUCAAACUUUCGCUGUGAAAUGUUUUGGUUAACCUUAAAGGAUAACAUGUAAUGGUUUCAGUAAUAAAUAUAUAAUUGAAUACAUUUUUAACUUGGACAUUUUAUCGAAGUAUCAUCGGUUUCAAAACCCUUCUUCAUAACACUCCUAAAUUCGAUCAUAACGUCUAGGCUGGGUUUGAGGUGUUACAAUAGUAGUUGUAUAUUCAUUUUGAGUUUAGACUAUGUGACAUGUACAUAAGGGUUUUUAGUAUGCUAUGUUCAUUUUAAAGUGAAUGACAUUAUGUGCUUGUAGUAAUGGUUAAUGUUGGAUUUACCAUUUGGUAUUUAUAUUAUUAGUACAUAUUUUGGUUAAAUUUUAUGAUGUAUGAGUGAUGAAUUUACCAUUGAAUACUUUGAUAUGUUAAGUUAUCAAUUAAGCUAUUUGAAAUGGUUAAGUUAGACAAUGUUUUCGGAAUGGCAAGAUAAGUGAUAAUUAUGUUAGGUAGUUUAGUAUAUAUGUUUUAACUUAUUCAUGCUAAUUUCUUGAAUUGGUAGUUUCCAAUUGGUAAGAUAAUUGUGCUUGAGUUGGAAUUGAGGGCAUUUUGGUAGGAAUAGAUGGAAUGGGUAUGUAUAUGGUUAAAACUUGACUAAUUAGUUAGUAAGAUAUAUAUAUAAUGGUUAAUUAAUUGAUUUUAUAUUUGAGAUGGUUGUCAAUUGGGUUGGUUUAAUGAAUUUAUUUUGUGAAGAUUGGAUGGAAGCAUGUUUGGAAUGGUUUGGAAAUACUUGAAACAAGUACCAAAUGUGCAUUUUGGAAAAAAACAGGGGUAAUGUCGCGAUGAGAGGUCUUUAACAUUGCAAUGUCGUUCGAUAGUGAGUGACGUCGCGACGUAUAUAUACAUGUUGUCGCAACGUAUGUAUACAUGUUGUCGCUACGUGAGUCACUACGAUGAUGUCACCUUGACGAGGAAGCUUUGAGGUUGCGAUGUCGGCCCAAAACUUUUAAAACUUUACACAUUAAUCUUGAUUCAUACUCGAGUUAGCAAAAGAGCUUUGGUAAGCUUGUGUGAGACCAAAAAAUGAUUGUGUGUCAUGUCGUGAAUACAUUUAAUGCUGAAUUACAUGUUUAAAUGGUCAGAAAGUAUAUGAUUGCUCGUAGUUGCUCCGGCAAUUACCAGAGUAUUCGAUUACUCGGACCCGACGAUUGGGUCGAGUAAGGGGUGUUACAAUAUUAUUGAAAUCAAGCUUAAUAAUUCAAUACUAUCCAUUUCUAUUAUUAUCCUAUGAAGACCAAGAUUCCAUUCUAGAGUUAGUCCAUAAAAAACACCUUAUGCAACAUUGAAGGUUUAAUCAAGAUGGAUGCAACAAUGGCACAUCCUCUGAGCACAAGGCUAACAUCCUCUUCCUCUACACCACAGAUUGAACACCAACUAUAGGAAAUAUUUUCUAUGUUGUGGUCUACAGAACAUAUUUAAUGUCAGUAUUUUAAGGAGUCAUGAUGAUUGCAAUUCGAGUACUCACCUCAUUAGGCAAGUAAAGGCUAAACCAAUCCCAAUCCAAGCACUUGACAAAGUAACCAUAUCCUUAACUAACGUAAAGUACCACACUUAAAAGGGUUAAACCCUGCCAUAAAUCAUAAAAUGCCCUACAUCAGGCACCCAAUUAUCUCUCUAAAAAUCAAUAUUGGUACCAUAACCUCUUUGUGCAUUUCCUUUCAAACAUUACAAAUUCCUUUCCAAAGACAAAGUGUAAUAGCUCGUUUUCAGUAAAACUGGAACAGUGUUUUGGGACCACAUAUCUGAGGUUAAAAAGUUUAUUUUAAUAUUAUUUUGUGAUCUAUAGCAUGACAGUAUUAUCGUAUAAAAAUUUUGAUAAGAUAUUUUACCGUUUGCAUGUUCAAUUUUGACAAAAAGGACUAAAUCACGUAAAGUGCAAAAGUGGUGUUCUAUUAGCUCAAUGUGUUAAAUAGCUAUAGAAAUUUUAAGUGGAGGUCCUUAUAUGAUAAUUAUACCAUUAAUUGAGUUAGUUCAUGUGCAUGGCUUGGUAAUUAUGAAAAUUUUAAAGUUAGGUAAGGGUAAUUUAGUAAUUAGGUAAAUUAAUGAUAAAAUAAAUAAAAUAAAGACCAAACUAUCAUAUUUUUCAUUUCUUUCUUCUCCCAACCGAAAAUACCUAAGGAAGACACCAUUUUUGAGCUUCAAACUUUCGACUAGUGCAUGGUGAGUGUUCCUUGUCCCGUUUUUAAUGAUUUUUAUAUUUUCGGGAUCGUUGUAGCUUAACCUAACUAACUCGGGGACUAAUUUGCAAAACUAGUGAGUAGUUUGAGAUUUGUAAUUGAUGAAUAAUUUAGGUUUUUGAAGUUUAAUAAAAUAAAAUGAAUCUUUGUUGUGAGUUAAACAACUUCUAUUAAGUGAUUUUUAAUGAAAUUGUCAAAUAGGGGUUAAAUUGAGAAAUGUGAUAAUUGUGUGGUAAAUGUGUGAAAUUGUGAAAUGUAUGGGCUGUUAUAAGCAUGUAUAGAAUUUGGCUAGGCUUGGGUAUGGAUGAAAUUGCAUGAAUUUCAUUUUACGAGCCUAGGGACUAAAUUGUAAAGAAAUCAAAAGUAUAGGGACAAAAUAGAAAUUUUGCAAAAAUAUGAUUUUUGGAUUGAAUGGAAUAGACUGAGGAUUAAAUUAGUUACAUUUGAUUAUAUAUAUCAAGAAAAACAAGGUACAAAUUUAGAUCGGGGAAAUGACAAAGUAUUAGAAUAAACGAUCGUUUUUCUCUGUACGAGUUUGAGGUAAGUUCGUGUAUUUAAUUAGCAUUAAAUUAUAUGUGAUUUAAAUUCUUGUGUGUGUUAAUAUUUGUAUUAUGGCUCUACAGAAAUAUCUGAUGAAGUUUCGACGACUUACGGAUCUCGGUUGAACCUUAGGAAUAAAUAGGAUACAAAUGACAUGUCAUUAAGGGUUACCAUGUUUUGGGUGCUGGUCUCGUACAUCCUACCGGUGGCUGAGUUUCUAGCAUGUGUUGCUGUUACUUUACAGCUUGUGUGAGCAGUACUGUAUAGCUACGUCUUGACUGACAGCUUGUGUGAGCAGACCCAGUUAUGGCCAAAGAGAGAGCAUCGAUAUGAGAUAUGAGAUUGUAGUGGUUUCGACCAUGUGUUGGCACAUAGUGUGCGAGAUACCCGUGUAUCCGAUAUUAUUCUAAGUGGUUCAACGGGCACAGUUCAGUUACGAGGUUAUACGAGUUCUAUAUGAACUAGUACAUUUAUUUAUGUGAAAUAUGGGAAAUGGUUUAUACUUGACAUAUGAAUACAUGACUAACUUGGUUAAUGAUUAUGUGUUAGGUUAUUGGGCCAAAUUGAAUUGUGUUAUGCCUUAAUUUACUUGCCUAGAUUGUGGUUGAAUGGUAAGUUAUAUUUUUAGUUAUACGAACUUACUAAGCUUAAAUGUUUACUCUGGGUUAUUUUCCGUGUUUUAUAAUGUUUCAGAAGCUCGUUCGGAUUGGAAGUUGCCGGAGAUAAUGUUUUAUAAGGGUACUUUUGGUUAAAUAUUUUGGUUUAAUGGCAUGUAUUGGUCUUUUUGGCUAAUGGUAGCCUAUAUGUUUGUCAUGUUUUAGCCAUUUGAAUUGGCUUAUAUUAGGGAUAUAUAUUUUGUUAUGUAUAUAUGUGUAAAUGGUCUUAUCAUAUUAGUGUAUGCUUAUCAUGUGAGUGUGUGCUAGUUGUGAAUUGGUAUUUUAAGUAUCAAUUAGUUGAUCUUUGAUAAGUGACAUACAUGUUAAGUUUAGGCACAAUGAUGCAUAUAUGUGUUUGACCAUUUAGGUAGAUUUUGGAGACAUAAUUGGCAUGUUAUAAAUGACAAAUUGAGGUGCCUAUGAGUAUCAUGGUUGUAUGUGAUGUUAUAACAUGUUAUAAGCUUGAUGUUGGUUGGUUUUGAAUGCCUAGCACAUGGAUGUGUGACUUGGCCGUGUGACACAAGUCAGUAUACCCUUAAGUUUUCAUACGGCCUGGCACACGGGCAUGUGAAGUUAUUUGAAGAGUACACGGCCUGGCACACGGGCGUGUGGUUUGGCCGUGUGACCCAAGUCAGUGAGUUACACGAGCACAGACACGGGCUGGGACAGGGUCGUGUGUCCCUAUUUCGAAUGCCCACUUGGCCUGGCCACACGGGCGUAUGUCCCCUGCACCUUUGAAAAAUUUUCAUGUUUUCCGAAAAAUUCUUUGAGUACCCGAUUUAGUCCUGAACUAUUUUUAAUGUCUAUUUUGGGCCUCGAGGACUCAUAUUAGGGAUUAUAUGAUUGAUUGUGAAUGGUUUUUGAUUUGAAUGUGAGUUGCAAAUGAAAUGUCUGUUUGUUUGAUUGUAAGUUCGGUAAUGCUCCGUAACCCUGUUCCGACAUCAAAUACAGGUUAAGGGUGUUACAACGAGAACAAUUAGAAUUCCGUGGCUCAUUAGGUAGAAGUCCCUCCCAUUUAUAGUUGAAUCUUAGAACUUUGGGCCAUAGAUGAUCUUUCUUUGAGACUAAAUGCAAACUUUUUUUUUACUUUAAUAUGAUUUUUGUAUUUUGAAUAUUUGCUUCUGAAUAUAUAUAUUUUCCUUAAAUUUUAACAAUUUCUUACUUUGUUGUAAAUGGUUCUAUUUUUUAAAAUAAUCAACUUUUGCUUUAUUGGAUUAUUAUAAUUCUUAAGAAUAUGACCUUUUUUUUUUACUUUUAAUAUGUGAAUUAAAUUAACAAACUAUCAAAAUUAUUUUCUACUUUUUUGAAUUAUUAGGGGUCUUUAUCAUUUUUAAAUUUAUAUCUAUUUAAUUUAUACUUUUUCAUUUAAUUUUUUAUGAAGAAAAUUGAUAUUUUAUUUUUUUAUAUUUAAUUUAUUUAAUAUAUGUUUUUUAAGAAAGAUUAUACUUGAAAAAUUACUUAAGCAAAUAAUUUAUUUUACUUUCUACAUCUUAACCAAACCAAAAAAUAUAUAUAUAUAUUUUACUUUUAUUAAUUUUAACUAUCUAGACAAGGAAAAUAUAUUCCUCACCUUUUUCUAACCUUCCAUUCCAUUCCUUUCUUUUAUUAUUAAUUAUUCAAACAUAAGGUAAGAGUCUAUCCGAGUAUAAUAAUAGUAUGAAGUUUGCCUAGAUAAAAUGGUAAAGAUCAUAAGCUGCCUCCUCUUCCUCCUCCUCCUUCUUAUCAUUAGCCUUUAAAAAAAAAAUCUAUGUUUGGGUGUUGUUUGGAAGUUUUUGAAACAAAUCUCUUUGAAGUGAAAAGGAAUGAAACGAGGUGAAGAAUAGAAGGGAGAAAAGUAGGAAAAACCAAAAGAUGCAGUUGGACCAGGAUACCUAAGUUCCAUGGACCUAGCUACCCUUUUAUAUAUUAUACAUAUAGCCACAAGCAAUGAAAAUGGUUUGGGAAUAUAUGCAUGAAAUGGACUGCCUUGACUCUCUAUACUACUAAACUAUAUGCAAAGGGAUAUUAAUAAUACUAUUAAACUAAAGCUUUAUUUAUGUUGCUACCUUUCAUGGAACUAUUUUAGGAAUGUGAACUUAAGAGAAGAAGAUGACAUGGAUGAUGUUUGAGAAGGGUGACCUUUUUAUGGAACAUUACACCCCCUUUCUCCUAGUUUAUUUACUAAGAGAAGAAGAUGGCAUGGAUGGUGUUUGGACACUUAUCAUUUCAACUUCCUUUCAAAAUGUAGUUGCCAUUGGUCUAAUAUUCCCCCAAUCUGCAACUAUGCAUGAAGACUACUCAAUGGAUGUACAUAUUUGUAUAUAAUCACCCUUUUAUGAUUUGGUUCUUCAAUGUAUGAUUAAUAUUAGAGAAAGAGAGAAGUCAUGUAAAAGAAAAUUCUAAAAACACUCACAUAUUCUUCUUCCAUGUGUUGGACGAUCAUGCAUAUAUUCACACAACAAUUACUACCAUUUCACCCAUGCACUAUGUUCUUUAAACCCAAGGUAAAUGUUAGACCAAAAUAUGUUACAUUUUUUUAAAAAUAUACUUUUAAAUUAUUAUAUCUCGUAUUUCUUAAAUCAUAUAUAACAAGAAGGUUUUGAUUGUCAAGCAACUAGUCCAAUAAUUAGUAUGAUGGAGACCACUUUACAUCUUCCAAUUUGGUACAAUAUGGAAUCACUCUGCAUUCAUCAGCCAAUAAGUAGUAGCCUUGGGCACUAAGUAUAAAGUGUAGGCAUUAGUUCCCCAAUAGGAUCACCUUUCAAUCA